This 292-nucleotide ribosomal RNA is filed under the name uncultured bacterium. RNAcentral describes it as "partial 16S ribosomal RNA". It matches the Rfam family "Bacterial small subunit ribosomal RNA", at positions 505 to 796 of the family's 1533-position model. The record is from RNAcentral.
GUGCCAGCCGCCGCGGUAAUACGUAGGCAGCAAGCGUUGUUCGGAGUUACUGGGCGUAAAGAGUGCGUAGGCGGUGUCGAAAGUUUGGCGUGAAAUCUCCCGGCUUAACUGGGAGGGUGCGCCGAAAACUGCGAUGCUGGAGUGUGGGAAAGGCAAGCGGAAUUCCUGGUGUAGCGGUGAAAUGCGUAGAUAUCAGGAGGAACACCGGCGGUGUAGACGGCUUGCUAGACCAUAACUGACGCUGAGGCACGAAAGCGUGGGUAGCAAACAGGAUUAGAAACCCCGGUAGUCC